This 289-nucleotide unclassified non-coding RNA is filed under the name Ascomycota sp. RNAcentral describes it as "partial contains 5.8S ribosomal RNA, internal transcribed spacer 2, and large subunit ribosomal RNA". The stretch from base 1 to 71 matches the Rfam family "5.8S ribosomal RNA", at positions 84 to 154 of the family's 154-position model. The record is from RNAcentral. Lineage: Eukaryota; Fungi; Ascomycota.
GUGAGUCAUCGAAUCUUUGAACGCACAUUGCGCCCCUCGGUAUUCCGUGGGGCAUGCCUGUUCGAGCGUCAUUUAAACCUUCAAGCUCUGCUUGGUAUUGGGUGCUUGUCCCGCCUCCGCGCGGCGACUCACCUCAAAGUCAUUGGCAGCCCGCAUCCGCCGGCCGUGAGCGCAGCACAUUUGCACUCUAGGUAUUGGCAGGUCGGCUUUCCAGAAGCACUUCUUUUACUAUUGACCUCGGAUCAGGUAGGGAUACCCGCUGAACUUAAGCAUAUCAAUAAGCGGAGGA